Molecule: ribosomal RNA, 443 nt
Filed under: uncultured bacterium
Lineage: Bacteria
Description: partial 16S ribosomal RNA
Rfam family: Bacterial small subunit ribosomal RNA
Source: RNAcentral
CCUACGGGAGUCAGCAGUGGGGGAUAUUGGACAAUGGGGGAAACCCUGAUCCAGCGCCGCCGCGUGAGUGAAGAAGUAUUUCGGUAUGUAAAGCUCUAUCAGCAGGGAAGAAAGAAAUGACGGUACCUGAGUAAGAAGCCCCGGCUAACUACGUGCCAGCAGCCGCGGUAAUACGUAGGGGGCAAGCGUUAUCCGGACUUACUGGGUGUAAAGGGAGCGUAGACGGUAAUGCAAGUCUGGAGUGAAAGGCGGGGGCCCACCCCCCGGACUGCUCUGGAAACUGUGUAACUGGAGGGCAGGAGAGGCAGGCGGAAUUCCUAGUGUAGCGGUGAAAUGCGUAGAUAUUAGGAGGAACACCAGUGGCGAAGGCGGCCUGCUGGACUGUAACUGACGUUGAGGCUCGAAAGCGUGGGGAGCAAACAGGAUUAGAUACCCCUGUAGUC